Non-coding RNA from Cordylochernes scorpioides, 65 nucleotides. Lineage: Eukaryota; Metazoa; Arthropoda; Arachnida; Pseudoscorpiones; Chernetidae. The record is from the annotation of a GenBank genome assembly.
UGCAUCGGCCGGGAAUCGAACUCGGCGCGCGUGGCAGGCGAGCAUUCUACCACUGAACCAAAAGC